CAUUCACGGAGAGUUUGAUCCUGGCUCAGGACGAACGCUGGCGGCGUGCUUAACACAUGCAAGUCGAACGAUGAAGCCCUUUGGGGUGGAUUAGUGGCGAACGGGUGAGUAACACGUGGGCAAUCUGCCCUUCACUCUGGGACAAGCCCUGGAAACGGGGUCUAAUACCGGAUAACACUCUGUCCCGCAUGGGACGGGGUUAAAAGCUCCGGCGGUGAAGGAUGAGCCCGCGGCCUAUCAGCUUGUUGGUGGGGUAAUGGCCUACCAAGGCGACGACGGGUAGCCGGCCUGAGAGGGCGACCGGCCACACUGGGACUGAGACACGGCCCAGACUCCUACGGGAGGCAGCAGUGGGGAAUAUUGCAC
This 366-nucleotide ribosomal RNA is filed under the name Streptomyces anulatus. Its description in RNAcentral is "bacterial SSU rRNA". It matches the Rfam family "Bacterial small subunit ribosomal RNA", at positions 1 to 369 of the family's 1533-position model. Lineage: Bacteria; Bacillati; Actinomycetota; Actinomycetes; Kitasatosporales; Streptomycetaceae. The record is from RNAcentral.